GUGCACCAGGCACGAAUAUUGGGCAAUGGGCGAAAGCCUGACCCAGCGACGCCGCGUGGAGGAUGAAGGCCUUCGUGGUUGUAAACUCCUGUUCUGGAGGACGAGGGGUAGAAAAGAUAACACCUUUUCUACUUGACGGUACUCCAGGAGAAAGCGCCGGCUAACUCCGUGCCAGCAGCCGCGGUAAAACGGAGGGCGCGAGCGUUGUCCGGAAUUACUGGGUGUAAAGGGGGUGUAGGCGGGUUCUCAAGUUGGGCGUGAAAGUCGUCGGCUUAACUGACGAAUUGCGUCCAAUACUGGGAGCCUUGAGGGUGGUAGAGGAGAGCGGAAUUCUCGGUGUAGCGGUGGAAUGCGUAGAUAUCGAGAAGAACACCAGUGGCGAAGGCGGCUCUCUGGGCCAUCCCUGACGCUGAGGCCCGAAAGCUGGGGGAGCGAACAGGAUUAGAUACCCCCGUAG
RNAcentral lists this ribosomal RNA (457 nucleotides) under uncultured microorganism. RNAcentral's name for it is "bacterial SSU rRNA". It matches the Rfam family "Bacterial small subunit ribosomal RNA", at positions 346 to 793 of the family's 1533-position model. The record is from RNAcentral.